Molecule: ribosomal RNA, 253 nt
Filed under: uncultured bacterium
Lineage: Bacteria
Description: partial 16S ribosomal RNA
Rfam family: Bacterial small subunit ribosomal RNA
Source: RNAcentral
UACGAAGGGUGCAAACGUUGCUCGGAAUUAUUGGGCGUAAAGCGCACGUAGGCGGCUUGGCAAGUCGGAUGUGAAAUCUUAUGGCUUAACCAUAAAAGUGCAUCCGAAACUGCAGUGCUUGAGUACUUAAGAGGAUCGCGGAAUUCCCGGUGUAGAGGUGAAAUUCGUAGAUAUCGGGAGGAACACCAGUGGCGAAGGCGGCGAUCUGGGAAGAUACUGACGCUGAGGUGCGAAAGCGUGGGGAGCAAACAGG